UACGGAGGGUGCGAGCGUUGUCCGGAAUUAUUGGGCGUAAAGCGCGUGUAGGCGGCAUGGCAAGUCGGGUGUGAAAGCCCUCAGCUUAACUGAGGAAGUGCGCCCGAAACUGCCGUGCUUGAGUGCCGGAGAGGGUGGCGGAAUUCCCCAAGUAGAGGUGAAAUUCGUAGAUAUGGGGAGGAACACCGGUGGCGAAGGCGGCCACCUGGACGGUAACUGACGCUAAGACGCGAAAGCGUGGGGAGCAAACAGG
This 253-nucleotide ribosomal RNA is filed under the name uncultured bacterium. RNAcentral's name for it is "partial 16S ribosomal RNA". It matches the Rfam family "Bacterial small subunit ribosomal RNA", at positions 524 to 776 of the family's 1533-position model. The record is from RNAcentral.